Molecule: ribosomal RNA, 440 nt
Filed under: uncultured bacterium
Lineage: Bacteria
Description: bacterial SSU rRNA
Rfam family: Bacterial small subunit ribosomal RNA
Source: RNAcentral
AACGCGAAGAACCUUACCUGGGCUCGAAAUGUAGUGGACUGGGGUAGAAAUAUCCCUUUCUCGCAAGAGACUGCUAUAUAGGUGCUGCAUGGCUGUCGUCAGCUCGUGUCGUGAGAUGUUGGGUUAAGUCCCGCAACGAGCGCAACCCUUACCCCCAGUUGCCAUCAUUUAGUUGGGCACUCUGGUGGAACCGCCUCGGAUAACGGGGAGGAAGGUGGGGAUGACGUCAAGUCCUCAUGGCCUUUAUGUCCAGGGCUACACACGUGCUACAAUGGCCGGUACAAACCGUCGCAAACCCGUGAGGGGGAGCUAAUCGGAAAAAGCCGGCCUCAGUUCGGAUUGUAGUCUGCAACUCGACUACAUGAAGCUGGAAUCGCUAGUAAUCGCGGAUCAGAACGCCGCGGUGAAUACGUUCCCGGGCCUUGUACACACCGGAGUGC